CUCAUUACGUUUAAACAUAGGUUAGUGUCUCUCCAUUUGGAUUGUUUGUCUAAUUGGUAUGUUUUUUGUUACUGAUGUAAUAUUUCUUAAAUUGAGGAAUGAUUUAAAAGUAAACACAUUUUCUUUUUGAAGUUUGAUUUUAGUUAAUGCAAGUGCCUAAUCGAUGAAAGUUUGUCUAGUAAAAAUUUCUUAUUGUUAACUGGUAUUUAAAAAUGCUGUUGUCUUAACAUAGUAUAUACACUCUGCUUAUUAUAGAUACGUUGUAGAAUUUCCAUUAUUAAGGAUAUAUAUGUCACGAGUAAGUUAUAAGAUCAAUAAAGGCAUUGUACUAUAUAAUGUUUUUAAGUAAGGUUUUAUUCAUAUUUCGAAGCAUAAGAUAACUUUAACAUAAAAUGUCUUCAAUCUGCGCGCGCGCACACACACACACACACACACACGCACACACACACACACACACACACACACACACACACACACACAAACACGCACACGCACACACACACGCACACACAUACACUAAUUAUAUACCUUUGAUAUGGAAAGAUGGUGGAUUAUCUCAAUCAAUAUUGAUAUGAUUUCUAAUUGUCCAAUGUAAUCAUCUAAAUGUUAACAAUCUAAACACUUCCUCAUAUGGCUUGCAUGCAUUUACGUACUUUUAGAUAAUAAAGACCAAUUAUGGUGUCUAUGUUAAUUAUGAGUAGAAGUAUUUGUUUUGAUUUAUUUUAUCUUAUCAGAAAUGAUAUUAUAUUAUUGGUAAUCAAACUUUGAAUACAGUUAUUUCGUAUAUUGGACUUUAUCAAGUAAAUCUUUGUAAACGAAAAAUACAUAUGCUUCAUCAAAUGUUACAUAAAAUGAUCAACCAACGACUCCAGUGAAUACGUUUUUAUGAAAUUCACUAAAUGCUACAUAAAUGGCUUUCAAUAUAUUUAUAUAAUAACAAGGACGGAUAUUGCACAUAAAUGAAGGUAAGCUCAUGUAUGUUCAACUGUAUUUUGUGAUUGACAGAAAACAUUACCCAGACAGGAUGAUAUUGAGUAUAUUUGCUCUACUUUUCCUAGCGAGAUGUACGGCAGGUAUGUAUUUGUAUCAUAUCGAUCACCUAAUUGUGACAUGAAUAAUUUCUUCUUAUCAAAUAUUAAAUAUAAAAAGAACGCAGUUGUUACAGAAUAUUCUCGAAUUUGAUGCAAUUCCUUUUAGUUAUGGUGAUAAUAAAAGAGAAGGAGGUAAACUUUAAUGGACAUUGUGCUUGCUGUGAAGGAGGGGAGUCUGGAUGUGGAUUAUAUGAUAAAAACAUGGAUUAUUGUUUAAAUGGCUGUGUUAACACACUAAAACAGGAUUUGCUGGUUCCUUGUGCAUUGAAUGUGUAGCAGGAUAUUACGAAGCAAACUGCAACGUCAGUUGUCCUAGCGGAUGCAAGGAGGGAACUUGUAUGAGAAACGGAUCAUGCAUUGAAUGCAUAACUGGUUAUUCUGGCGAACAAUGCAACGAUAUGUGUUCUACGGGUUGCAGCGAUGGAUAUUGUUAUAGAAAUUGAACUUGUCACCGUACGGAUCGUUUUACAGGUACCUUUUGUGACAAAUGUGUUGUAGGAAAAAAUGGCGACAAUUGUGAACAUGAAUGCAGUGUUGGUUGUUCUACAAUGUCCUGUGGCAAAGAAGACGGAUCAUGCUAUAAUGGAUGUGACGAUGGAUUACAUGGCAUACAUUGUUUUCAGAAGUGUACCAAUAUCGACGAUAGGUGUUUAAAAUGUAGACAGCAAGAUGGGACGUGUUUAAUGUGUAACACAGGAUUUUACCCGAAUGAAUAUAGUAGUUGCACUACUUGCAGUACUAACUGUAUUUAUGGACAGUGUUAUCCUGAAACCGGCAAAUGUAUAAAUGGUUGUGCAGUCAGCUUUUGGGGAGACAAGUGUGACGUCAAUUGUAGUUCUAAGUGUGAAACAUGUAAGCAAGAUUCAGGAAUAUGUGAUUCAUGUACAAAUCUUACUACACAUGGUUUGUAUUGCAAUGAAUCAUGCAAGUCAUCAUGCUAUCGAAGAAAGUGCGAACAAAGUACUGGUCAUUGUUCCCUUGGAUGCAAUGGAGAUUUCUUUGGCAAUAUGUGUGAAACCAAUUGCCCUGAGAAUUGUCAGCAAACAGAAACAAAAUCAAGUUGUAAUACUGAUGGCGACUGUUUGUAUGGCUGCAUUAAUGAUCUUGAAGGCAGAUUUUGUACAGGUACGUUCCAUCUACAUGUGCACAUUUUUACGGCUGAAGAUAUCAAUUAAAUAAUCAUAUAGCUAAAUUUAUAAAGGGUAAAAUAAUCCGCUUAAAAUGAUGACGAAGAUAAGAAGUUAUGCAUGCAGUUUAUCUCGGUAAUGUCUGAGUACUCUGCUUCAACACUAUUUCAACUAGUUUUAUGUUCAAUAAUUAUGCAUCCGGUGCACUUUCCUUGGCUUUUGCAACAAACUUAAAAUCAUUUAAAAAAGGAUCUGGGUAUGUAUUUUUAACAGGCAAAAACAAACAAAGGUUUUCUCGCCUAAAAUUCCGCAGAUAAUGACACUUUGAGUGUGUCGUACUCUGUAACAAAUAUAACAAAUGCUUGAUGGCGGGGAAACGUCUCGGUCUGUAAAGAAUUGUCUUAAUGGGUAUGAUGCAGAUAUAAGGUUUCGGGUACGGGUAAAUACCAAUAGGGCCUGUUCCCCUACUCCCAUGUGUUAUUGAAAGAACGUCUAUACUAUUUGUUUUAUUAUGUGUUUCUUAAUUAGGUUGCUGAGGCUGCUAUUUGAAAAUUUGAUACAUAUGAAUCAAUCUCUGAGUCUUUAGAAGUAACAUUAUAUACUCAUAAGUAUAUUGUACUCUGCAAACAUUCUGUCUUAACAAAAUUACUACAAGAUUUAUUUGAGGUGUUAGUAUUCGUUGUUUUUACAGGAAACAUAUUACUUAUGACAUUAUAGUCCCAUCGUAGGUGAUUUAUACACUUUUUUUAUAACUGAGCUUUUCAAUUCACUUGUUAAUAAAUUUUCUUUAUUACAUAAUUUACAAAUGUUGCUAAGCAAAUUAAAGAGUAAAGGAAUUCUUCAAAUAUAUUCCCCGAGGAAUAGCUAGAGUGAUUAAUACUUUUCCUUACGUUACAUUAUAAUGUUAUUUGUUCAUGGGUUGUGACAAAUGAAUUAAUCCGACAAGUGAUGUUCUUAUAAAUAUUCGGUAUUACUUUUAACAUGUAAUCGAGUAUAAACCCUAUCUUUUAUUGUAUUGUUCUACAGGUUAAUGCAAACAAUGCUAUUUCAGAAAUACGAAUUGACACUGCUUCUUCCACAAAUAUUGCACUCGCAGCUUUAUCGGGAGUUUUGGGCAUUAUGCAUGUUUCUUCAGUCGCUGGUUGCUACCUGUGGGACAUACGAAUGUCUGAGUCAAUAGAACAAAACUCAGAAAUACAGUUAGAUCAAUGUGAAACCAAAAGGGCAUAUGAACAGCCACACAGACAGUCCAACGAAUCAACAUACAGAAAUUUUGACGACAACAAUACUGUGCUUUAAUUGUAAAAAUUCAAAACACUCUUCAUUUUAUACUGAAACUGGGACAUGACAAGCUUCAAUGUUAUAUAUUUUGCAUGAAGUCCCUGGAUUCGUUUCUGUGUGCGGGAAAGGUCCCUUUAUCUUACUGCUGAUAUUGUUGGAGGAAUGGCUCAUGUGCAAGAAAAAUGAAGAUGAUUGUGUCGCAUAAAGGACAUCCAAAUUUUGAGGGAUCAACAUAAGCAACAUUUCAGCAUUUAACAAACACAUUUUCUGUACAGAUGAGGUUGAUUUAAUAUUUUUCUUCUUCAUAGAACAUUGCGAUAACAAAUAAUUCAUAUUCAGAGAAAUACACUUUUUAUAUUUUUUUAUAUAUAUUAUUUGCCCCUUAAAUUUAACAAUUGUGCCAAAUGUUAUGUAAUACCUUAUUAUGUGAGAUAUAUGCUAAAAUAAUGGUUAUGUUUAUAUGAUAAAUGGAAAUGAUGAUAUGAAAUAAGUACACAUUUCAUAUUUGACUCUUUUUUCUCUGAAGGUGUUAUUGAGAGCAGCGCAAAAUUAAUUUGGCUAUCUUGAUUUCGAGCUGUCUGACAAGUUAUCCAGAACAAAAAUGUAUUUAUUCAUGCAGCUAUGUCAGUCUUAUUGUUGUCAUUUGUGGAUAUUGUUUGUUACGUUUACAAACCUCGUCGAGGUUAGCAUGAGGGAGCUAUGUUAGUCUUAUGUGCUGCCAUGUAUAGAUCUUGUUUGUUCUUUGCUUUUAUCCAGAACAAAAAUGUAUUCAUGCAUACAGCUCUAGACACAGUAAAUUGUACAUUGUUUUCGUCUUCCUUUUUCGUUGUGUAGCAUGUGUUCUAGCUAAAUUAUAUAUAAUUCUGUAUAUUGUUGUUAUUAUGUUAAUGUUAUCAUAUUCAUUGAAUUUGCAUCCUUCAAAUGUAUCAAAAUAACAUAAAGAAUGUGUUUAAUUAACUAUUUGAAUACGACAAAUUGGGGUUGGGUUGAUGUAUGAAUGUUCCUGGAUAAGAUGCUGUACAUGUUCAAUUUAAAUAACAUACAUAUGACAAAACAAAUUGAUAAAUUAGUUUGUGUUUGCAUGUUUGAAUACUGACUUAUAUUUUUUGUAUUCAAAGCGUUGAAAUUCAUAGGUAC
This is a long non-coding RNA of Mya arenaria, 4636 nucleotides long. RefSeq lists it as uncharacterized. The record is from RefSeq and is a predicted model, not a curated record. The transcript has 3 exons. Lineage: Eukaryota; Metazoa; Mollusca; Bivalvia; Myida; Myidae.